RNAcentral lists this ribosomal RNA (510 nucleotides) under Cepora nerissa (common gull). RNAcentral's name for it is "partial 16S ribosomal RNA". The record is from RNAcentral. Lineage: Eukaryota; Metazoa; Arthropoda; Insecta; Lepidoptera; Pieridae.
UUUUUGUGAAUAAUUUAAAGUCUAAUCUGCCCACUGAAUAAAAAUUUAAAGGGCUGCAGUAUAUUGACUGUACAAAGGUAGCAUAGUCAUUAGUCUUUUAAUUGGAGACUUGUAUGAAUGAUUUGAUGAAAUAUAAACUGUCUCUUUAUUAAUAAUAGAAUUUAAUUUUUUAGUCAAAAAGCUAAAAUUUAUAUAAAAGACGAGAAGACCCUAUAGAGUUUAAUUUUUUAAUUUUUAUGAAUAUUAUAUAAAAAUUAUAAUUUAUAAAAAUUAAAAAAUUUUGUUGGGGUGAUAGAAAAAUUUAAAAAACUUUUUUUAAAAAUUAACAUUAAUUUAUGAAUAUUUGAUCCAUAAUUUAUGAUUAAAAGAUUAAAUUACCUUAGGGAUAACAGCGUAAUUUUUUUUUUUAGUUCAAAUAAAAAAAAAAGUUUGCGACCUCGAUGUUGGAUUAAGAUAAAAUUUAAAUGCAAAAGUUUAAAAUUUUGAUCUGUUCGAUCAUUAAAAUCUUAC